UACGUAGGGAGCGAGCGUUGUCCGGAUUUAUUGGGCGUAAAGAGCUCGUAGGCGGUUUGGUAAGUCGGGUGUGAAAGCUCCGGGCUCAACUCGGAGAGGUCACUCGAUACUGCCAUGACUUGAGUCCGGUAGGGGGGUGUGGAAUUCCCAGUGUAGCGGUGAAAUGCGCAGAUAUUGGGAGGAACACCAAUGGCGAAGGCAGCACCCUGGGCCGGUACUGACGCUGAGGAGCGAAAGCGUGGGGAGCAAACAGG
This 254-nucleotide ribosomal RNA is filed under the name uncultured bacterium. RNAcentral's name for it is "partial 16S ribosomal RNA". It matches the Rfam family "Bacterial small subunit ribosomal RNA", at positions 524 to 776 of the family's 1533-position model. The record is from RNAcentral.